GGGUUGUGAGGUUAAGCGACUAAGCGUACACGGUGGAUGCCCUGGCAGUCAGAGGCGAUGAAGGACGUGCUAAUCUGCGAUAAGCGUCGGUAAGGUGAUAUGAACCGUUAUAACCGGCGAUUUCCGAAUGGGGAAACCCAGUGUGUUUCGACACACUAUCAUUAACUGAAUCCAUAGGUUAAUGAGGCGAACCGGGGGAACUGAAACAUCUAAGUACCCCGAGGAAAAGAAAUCAACCGAGAUUCCCCCAGUAGCGGCGAGCGAACGGGGAGCAGCCCAGAGCCUGAAUCAGUGUGUGUGUUAGUGGAAGCGUCUGGAAAGGCGCGCGAUACAGGGUGACAGCCCCGUACACAAAAAUGCACAUAUUGUGAGCUCGAUGAGUAGGGCGGGACACGUGGUAUCCUGUCUGAAUAUGGGGGGACCAUCCUCCAAGGCUAAAUACUCCUGACUGACCGAUAGUGAACCAGUACCGUGAGGGAAAGGCGAAAAGAACCCCGGCGAGGGGAGUGAAAAAGAACCUGAAACCGUGUACGUACAAGCAGUGGGAGCCUCUUUAUGGGGUGACUGCGUACCUUUUGUAUAAUGGGUCAGCGACUUAUAUUCUGUAGCAAGGUUAACCGAAUAGGGGAGCCGAAGGGAAACCGAGUCUUAACUGGGCGUUAAGUUGCAGGGUAUAGACCCGAAACCCGGUGAUCUAGCCAUGGGCAGGUUGAAGGUUGGGUAACACUAACUGGAGGACCGAACCGACUAAUGUUGAAAAAUUAGCGGAUGACUUGUGGCUGGGGGUGAAAGGCCAAUCAAACCGGGAGAUAGCUGGUUCUCCCCGAAAGCUAUUUAGGUAGCGCCUCGUGAAUUCAUCUCCGGGGGUAGAGCACUGUUUCGGCAAGGGGGUCAUCCCGACUUACCAACCCGAUGCAAACUGCGAAUACCGGAGAAUGUUAUCACGGGAGACACACGGCGGGUGCUAACGUCCGUCGUGAAGAGGGAAACAACCCAGACCGCCAGCUAAGGUCCCAAAGUCAUGGUUAAGUGGGAAACGAUGUGGGAAGGCCCAGACAGCCAGGAUGUUGGCUUAGAAGCAGCCAUCAUUUAAAGAAAGCGUAAUAGCUCACUGGUCGAGUCGGCCUGCGCGGAAGAUGUAACGGGGCUAAACCAUGCACCGAAGCUGCGGCAGCGACACUAUGUGUUGUUGGGUAGGGGAGCGUUCUGUAAGCCUGUGAAGGUGUGCUGUGAGGUAUGCUGGAGGUAUCAGAAGUGCGAAUGCUGACAUAAGUAACGAUAAAGCGGGUGAAAAGCCCGCUCGCCGGAAGACCAAGGGUUCCUGUCCAACGUUAAUCGGGGCAGGGUGAGUCGACCCCUAAGGCGAGGCCGAAAGGCGUAGUCGAUGGGAAACAGGUUAAUAUUCCUGUACUUGGUGUUACUGCGAAGGGGGGACGGAGAAGGCUAUGUUGGCCGGGCGACGGUUGUCCCGGUUUAAGCGUGUAGGCUGGUUUUCCAGGCAAAUCCGGAAAAUCAAGGCUGAGGCGUGAUGACGAGGCACUACGGUGCUGAAGCAACAAAUGCCCUGCUUCCAGGAAAAGCCUCUAAGCAUCAGGUAACAUCAAAUCGUACCCCAAACCGACACAGGUGGUCAGGUAGAGAAUACCAAGGCGCUUGAGAGAACUCGGGUGAAGGAACUAGGCAAAAUGGUGCCGUAACUUCGGGAGAAGGCACGCUGAUAUGUAGGUGAAGUCCCUUGCGGAUGGAGCUGAAAUCAGUCGAAGAUACCAGCUGGCUGCAACUGUUUAUUAAAAACACAGCACUGUGCAAACACGAAAGUGGACGUAUACGGUGUGACGCCUGCCCGGUGCCGGAAGGUUAAUUGAUGGGGUUAGCGGUAACGCGAAGCUCUUGAUCGAAGCCCCGGUAAACGGCGGCCGUAACUAUAACGGUCCUAAGGUAGCGAAAUUCCUUGUCGGGUAAGUUCCGACCUGCACGAAUGGCGUAAUGAUGGCCAGGCUGUCUCCACCCGAGACUCAGUGAAAUUGAACUCGCUGUGAAGAUGCAGUGUACCCGCGGCAAGACGGAAAGACCCCGUGAACCUUUACUAUAGCUUGACACUGAACAUUGAGCCUUGAUGUGUAGGAUAGGUGGGAGGCUUUGAAGUGUGGACGCCAGUCUGCAUGGAGCCGACCUUGAAAUACCACCCUUUAAUGUUUGAUGUUCUAACGUUGGCCCCUAAUCGGGGUUGCGGACAGUGUCUGGUGGGUAGUUUGACUGGGGCGGUCUCCUCCUAAAGAGUAACGGAGGAGCACGAAGGUUGGCUAAUCCUGGUCGGACAUCAGGAGGUUAGUGCAAUGGCAUAAGCCAGCUUGACUGCGAGCGUGACGGCGCGAGCAGGUGCGAAAGCAGGUCAUAGUGAUCCGGUGGUUCUGAAUGGAAGGGCCAUCGCUCAACGGAUAAAAGGUACUCCGGGGAUAACAGGCUGAUACCGCCCAAGAGUUCAUAUCGACGGCGGUGUUUGGCACCUCGAUGUCGGCUCAUCACAUCCUGGGGCUGAAGUAGGUCCCAAGGGUAUGGCUGUUCGCCAUUUAAAGUGGUACGCGAGCUGGGUUUAGAACGUCGUGAGACAGUUCGGUCCCUAUCUGCCGUGGGCGCUGGAGAACUGAGGGGGGCUGCUCCUAGUACGAGAGGACCGGAGUGGACGCAUCACUGGUGUUCGGGUUGUCAUGCCAAUGGCACUGCCCGGUAGCUAAAUGCGGAAGAGAUAAGUGCUGAAAGCAUCUAAGCACGAAACUUGCCCCGAGAUGAGUUCUCCCUGACCCUUUAAGGGUCCUGAAGGAACGUUGAAGACGACGACGUUGAUAGGCCGGGUGUGUAAGCGCAGCGAUGCGUUGAGCUAACCGGUACUAAUGAACCGUGAGGCUUAACCUUACAACGCCGAAG
Molecule: ribosomal RNA, 2925 nt
Filed under: Escherichia coli
Lineage: Bacteria; Pseudomonadati; Pseudomonadota; Gammaproteobacteria; Enterobacterales; Enterobacteriaceae
Description: bacterial LSU rRNA
Rfam family: Bacterial large subunit ribosomal RNA
Source: RNAcentral